AGUGAACGCUGGCGGCAGGCUUAACACAUGCAAGUCGAACGGUAGCACAGCAAGAGCUUGUUCCUACUGGCGACGAGGGGAGGACGGCUGCGGAACAUACCCGAAUGUACUUUAUAGCGCGGGAAAACGUAGGCUAACUCACCCUAUUAUCGCAUACGGCCAACGGGUGAACGCACAGCAUCGUCGGACCUCGCGCCUUUGAAUCAGCCGAUGUCGGAUUAGCUAGUUGGCGGGGUAAAGGCCCACCAAGGCGACGAUCCGUAGCUGGUCUGAGAGGAUGAUCAGCCACACUGGAACUGAGACACGGUCCAGACUCCUACGGGAGGCAGCAGUGGGGAAUAUUGGACAAUGGGCGCAAGCCUGAUCCAGCCAUGCCGCGUGGGCGAAGAAGGCCUUCGGGUUGUAAAGCGCUUUUGUUAGGAAAGAAAAGCAGCAGGUUAAUACCGCGCUGUUCUGACGGUACCCAAAGAAUAAGCACCGGCUAACUUCGUG
This 492-nucleotide ribosomal RNA is filed under the name uncultured bacterium. RNAcentral describes it as "partial 16S ribosomal RNA". It matches the Rfam family "Bacterial small subunit ribosomal RNA", at positions 29 to 507 of the family's 1533-position model. The record is from RNAcentral.